CACAGAGGUGUGUGGGGUUCUGGUCGAUCGAACAGGAGGGGAGCAAGGGGGAAAGCCCUAGUUUUAUCAAUUCCACAUAAUUCCAUAGAAAUUUCAAGGAAAUCAAAGGAUAAUCAGCAAAUUACAAGCUCCUAAACUUGUUCUUUGAAGGAGCGUGAAGGAAGAAGGUACAAGCACUAGGAAAACGGAAGGCACGCAAGAUCGAGGAAUCCCGUAUGUUGGGGCGUGAAGGAAGAAGGUACAAGCACUAGAAAAACGGAAGGCACACAAGAUCGAGGUAAAUCCUCAACCUAAGCGAUUGGACGACUUAGAACGAGCGCACUUAAUCUACGCCCACUUCACGCUUCCGUCAUAAGUCAUUUUAAUGCGGUCUUAAUUUUUGGUCUUAUGUACUUCAACUUAUG
Molecule: long non-coding RNA, 404 nt
Filed under: Helianthus annuus (common sunflower)
Lineage: Eukaryota; Viridiplantae; Streptophyta; Magnoliopsida; Asterales; Asteraceae
Description: sRNA HanXRQr2_Chr15g0681321
Source: RNAcentral